ACUGAUUGAGAGUAAAUUAUGUGUGAAUGCAAGAAUAAGGACAUCAUGAAGAAUAAUAUGAGGUGUUAAUUUCAUCUUUCCUACAUAUGUAACAAGAACUUUAUGAGAGUUAGGUAAAUGAACCAUUAUUGGUGAUCUAAGAACAACAACAUCAUAUAGUAAGGAUUUAUCAAAAAGACAUAUGUUGUGUUGCUCCUGAAUCGAUGAUCCAAGAUUUGUUAGGAGCCUUAGAAUAACAAGGGG
RNAcentral lists this long non-coding RNA (243 nucleotides) under Capsicum annuum. RNAcentral's name for it is "long non-coding RNA (CANN_LNC013259)". Lineage: Eukaryota; Viridiplantae; Streptophyta; Magnoliopsida; Solanales; Solanaceae. The record is from RNAcentral.